This 497-nucleotide ribosomal RNA is filed under the name uncultured bacterium. RNAcentral describes it as "partial 16S ribosomal RNA". It matches the Rfam family "Bacterial small subunit ribosomal RNA", at positions 28 to 507 of the family's 1533-position model. The record is from RNAcentral.
GACGAACGCUGGCGGCGUGCCUAAUACAUGCAAGUUGAGCGAUGAAGAUUGGUGCUUGCCCCAAUUUGAAGAGCAGCGAACGGGUGAGUAACGCGUGGGGAAUCUGCCUUUGAGCGGGGGACAACAUUUGGAAACGAAUGCUAAUACCGCAUAAUAACUUUAAACAUAAGUUUUAAGUUUGAAAGAUGCAAUUGCAUCACUCAAAGAUGAUCCCGCGUUGUAUUAGCUAGUUGGUGAGGUAAAGGCUCACCAAGGCGAUGAUACAUAGCCGACCUGAGAGGGUGGUCGGCCACAGUGGGACUGAGACACGGCCCAAACUCCUACGGGAGGCAGCAGGAGGGAAUCUUCGGCAAUGGACGAAAGGCUGACCGAGCAACGCCGCGUGAGUGAAGAAGGGUGUCGGAUCGUAAAACUCUGUUGGUAGAGAAGAACGUUGGUGAGAGUGGAAAGCUCAUCAAGUGACGGUAACUACCCAGAAAGGGACGGCUAACUACGUG